Molecule: ribosomal RNA, 253 nt
Filed under: uncultured bacterium
Lineage: Bacteria
Description: partial 16S ribosomal RNA
Rfam family: Bacterial small subunit ribosomal RNA
Source: RNAcentral
UACGGAGGAUUCGAGCGUUAUCCGGAUUUAUUGGGUUUAAAGGGUGCGUAGGCGGUCGGAUAAGUUAGAGGUGAAAUCCCGGGGCUCAACUUCGGAAUUGCCUCUGAUACUGUUCGGCUAGAGAGUAGUUGCGGUAGGCGGAAUGUAUGGUGUAGCGGUGAAAUGCUUAGAGAUCAUACAGAACACCGAUUGCGAAGGCAGCUUACCAAGCUACUUCUGACGUUGAGGCGCGAAAGCGUGGGGAGCAAACAGG